This 952-nucleotide ribosomal RNA is filed under the name Salmonella enterica subsp. enterica serovar Poona. Its description in RNAcentral is "partial 23S ribosomal RNA". It matches the Rfam family "Bacterial large subunit ribosomal RNA", at positions 911 to 1773 of the family's 2925-position model. Lineage: Bacteria; Pseudomonadati; Pseudomonadota; Gammaproteobacteria; Enterobacterales; Enterobacteriaceae. The record is from RNAcentral.
UGUUUCGGCUAGGGGGCCAUCCCGGCUUACCAACCCGAUGCAAACUGCGAAUACCGGAGAAUGUUAUCACGGGAGACACACGGCGGGUGCUAACGUCCGUCGUGAAGAGGGAAACAACCCAGACCGCCAGCUAAGGUCCCAAAGUCAUGGUUAAGUGGGAAACGAUGUGGGAAGGCCCAGACAGCCAGGAUGUUGGCUUAGAAGCAGCCAUCAUUUAAAGAAAGCGUAAUAGCUCACUGGUCGAGUCGGCCUGCGCGGAAGAUGUAACGGGGCUAAACCAUGCACCGAAGCUGCGGCAGCGAACGUAUCACCCAAGACAACUUUACGGAGUUAACGAUUGACGGAGCGAAGCGACGUCAAAGCGUUCAUUAAAGUCGAGUUGGCUUAGGGAUACGUUCGUUGGGUAGGGGAGCGUUCUGUAAGCCUGUGAAGGUGGCCUGUGAGGGUUGCUGGAGGUAUCAGAAGUGCGAAUGCUGACAUAAGUAACGAUAAAGCGGGUGAAAAGCCCGCUCGCCGGAAGACCAAGGGUUCCUGUCCAACGUUAAUCGGGGCAGGGUGAGUCGACCCCUAAGGCGAGGCCGAAAGGCGUAGUCGAUGGGAAACGGGUUAAUAUUCCCGUACUUGGUGUUACUGCGAAGGGGGGACGGAGAAGGCUAUGUUGGCCGGGCGACGGUUGUCCCGGUUUAAGCGUGUAGGCUGGUUUUCCAGGCAAAUCCGGAAAAUCAAGGCUGAGGCGUGAUGACGAGGCACUACGGUGCUGAAGCAACAAAUGCCCUGCUUCCAGGAAAAGCCUCUAAGCAUCAGGUAACAUCAAAUCGUACCCCAAACCGACACAGGUGGUCAGGUAGAGAAUACCAAGGCGCUUGAGAGAACUCGGGUGAAGGAACUAGGCAAAAUGGUGCCGUAACUUCGGGAGAAGGCACGCUGACAUGUAGGUGAAGUGAUUUACUCA